UACGUAGGGGGCAAGCGUUGUCCGGAUUUAUUGGGCGUAAAGAGCUCGUAGGUGGUUCGGUAAGUCGGAUGUGAAAUCUCCAGGCUCAACCUGGAGGGGUCAUUCGAUACUGCCGUGACUAGAGGUCGGUAGGGGAGUGUGGAACUCCUGGUGGAGCGGUGAAAUGCGCAGAUAUCAGGAGGAACACCCGUAGCGAAGGCGGCACUCUGGGCCGAUACUGACACUGAGGAGCGAAAGCGUGGGGAGCGAACAGG
RNAcentral lists this ribosomal RNA (254 nucleotides) under uncultured bacterium. RNAcentral's name for it is "partial 16S ribosomal RNA". It matches the Rfam family "Bacterial small subunit ribosomal RNA", at positions 524 to 776 of the family's 1533-position model. The record is from RNAcentral.